GAGAGGUGCUGCAUGGCUGUCGUCAGCUCGUGCUGUGAAAUGUUGGGUUAGGUCUCGCAACGAGCGCAACCCCUAUCGUCUGUUGCCAGCAUUAAGUUGGGCACUCUGACGAGACUGCCUGGGUUAACCAGGAGGGAGGUGGGGAUGACGUCAAGUCCUCAUGGCCCUUAUGUCUAGGGCUACACACGUAGUACAAUGGCGCGUACAAAGGGAAGCGAACUCGCAAGGGGGAGCAAAUCUCAAAAAGCGCGCCUCAGUUCGGAUUAAAGUCUGCAACUCGACUUCAUGAAGUUGGAAUCGCUAGUA
This 306-nucleotide ribosomal RNA is filed under the name uncultured Peredibacter sp. RNAcentral describes it as "bacterial SSU rRNA". It matches the Rfam family "Bacterial small subunit ribosomal RNA", at positions 1033 to 1340 of the family's 1533-position model. The record is from RNAcentral. Lineage: Bacteria; Pseudomonadati; Bdellovibrionota; Bacteriovoracia; Bacteriovoracales; Bacteriovoracaceae.